CUGUACGCGAGGCCUAGUCCGCACCAAGUGGUCGCUACGCUGUAGAGUGAAAACCGAUACGUCAGGUAACCGCGACCCUGUAAAUCUACACCGCAACCCAAGUCCCCGGUAGAAGACACACACCAAGGAUAGCAGAAUCCGACGCCUACACGAGUGUCCAUACUUAGGGAAACACGAGAGGGUGAGCGGAGAACGAAACUUAUUACAAGUAGUAUUAAAGUAAUUGGUUAAAAAAAGACUUACCUUCAUGCGGAGAGGAAGAAUCAAAAAUCAUGUCCCCCUUUUGUGUCAAGGAAGAAAGGAAGCAGGAAUUCCCUUUUUUCUUUACCUCCGGCAACCGGGUUUAAACUCAAAGAACGAGCAGGUAACCCUCUACUACAUGGGUUAGACAUCACUUAUACCGCAUAGUCUAAUUAAGCGAACGGGUAGGUACCGGUUUCGAACCUCCUAUAGUACGACCACCGGUAAAAAACGGCUCUGGACCUGUACACGUGCUUCCCGGUGAAGCUCAGCGAACCACUGUAUUACUAAAAUCCUCGUAGUGGCCGUUUGGAUGGAAGUCAAAUUCGAGCACCAAACCUUAAGGACCCUUCCAGUAGAACAAUUCCUUGAGGCAACCUGUGUAUAAGAGGUAACACAACAUGAAGUAACAACGGAACGUAUAUCACAGGUUCGAAUC
Molecule: ribosomal RNA, 679 nt
Filed under: Triticum aestivum (bread wheat)
Lineage: Eukaryota; Viridiplantae; Streptophyta; Magnoliopsida; Poales; Poaceae
Description: partial small subunit ribosomal RNA
Source: RNAcentral